This 468-nucleotide ribosomal RNA is filed under the name uncultured bacterium. Its description in RNAcentral is "partial 16S ribosomal RNA". It matches the Rfam family "Bacterial small subunit ribosomal RNA", at positions 28 to 507 of the family's 1533-position model. The record is from RNAcentral.
GACGAACGCUGGCGGCGUGCUUAACACAUGCAAGUCGAACGGAAAGGCCCUGCUUUUGUGGGGUGCUCGAGUGGCGAACGGGUGAGUAACACGUGAGUAACCUGCCCUUGACUUUGGGAUAACUUAAGGAAACUGGGGCUAAUACCGGAUAGGAGCUCCUGCUGCAUGGUGGGGGUUGGAAAGUUUCGGUGGUUGGGGAUGGACUCGCGGCUUAUCAGCUUGUUGGUGGGGUAGUGGCUUACCAAGGCUUUGACGGGUAGCCGGCCUGAGAGGGUGAGCUGCCACAUUGGGACUGAGAUACGGCCCAGACUCCUACGGGAGGCAGCAGUGGGGAAUAUUGCACAAUGGGCGGAAGCCUGAUGCAGCAACGCCGCGUGCGGGAUGACGGCCUUCGGGUUGUAAACCGCUUUCGCCUGUGACGAAGCGUGAGUGACGGUAAUGGGUAAAGAAGCACCGGCUAACUACGUG